Molecule: non-coding RNA, 86 nt
Organism: Thermanaeromonas toyohensis ToBE
Lineage: Bacteria; Bacillati; Bacillota; Clostridia; Neomoorellales; Neomoorellaceae
Source: Rfam
UAACCUGCACUGGAAGGUGCGGUUGAACUGGCAGGAGUCAGCAGAGGUCAUAGUACCUCUCUCAGACGUCAGAGGGAGGGAAGGAC